CAGAUCUCCAGUCUUCUUGGUCAUUUAGAGGAAGUAAAAGUCGUAACAAGGUUUCCGUAGGUGAACCUGCGGAAGGAUCAUUACUGAAAGGGGACUCCGGUCCCCGGGACAAGCCCCCGUCGAGCCCCUGGGCUCCCCGGGCGGCGACACCCCUAACCCUUUGUUUACCCUACCUCUGUUGCUUUGGCAAGGCUCCUGCCCGGGUGGUUCCGGGCUUGGGCUCUGCCAGAGGGCCCCAACUCGUGGAUAGUUCUUGUUUGUCUGAGUACGAUAUAAUCGUUUACAACUUUUAACAAUGGAUCUCUUGGCUCUGGCAUCGAUGAAGAACGCAGCGAAACGCGAUAUGUAAUGUGAAUUGCAGACUUUAGUGAAUCAUCGAAUCUUUGAACGCACAUUGCGCCCCGUGGUAUUCCGCGGGGCAUACCUGUUCGAGCGUCAUUACAACCUCUCCAGCUCUGCUGGGUCUUGGGGCUUGCCUUCCCGGGCAUCCCUUAAAACUAGAUGCGGCGCCGCGUGGCUCUAAGCGUAGUACUUUCCUCGCUUCUGGGUCCGCUGUGGUGUCUGCUACACAACCCCAACUUUCUAUGGUUGACCUCGAAUCAGGUAGGGAUACCCGCUGAACUUAAGCAUAUCAAUAAGCGGAGGAAAAGAAACCAACC
RNAcentral lists this ribosomal RNA (659 nucleotides) under uncultured Helotiales. RNAcentral's name for it is "eukaryotic LSU rRNA". The stretch from base 285 to 438 matches the Rfam family "5.8S ribosomal RNA". Lineage: Eukaryota; Fungi; Ascomycota; Leotiomycetes; Helotiales. The record is from RNAcentral.